GACGAACGCUGGCGGCGUGCCUAAUACAUGCAAGUUGAGCGCUGAAGGUUGGUACUUGUCCCAACUGGAUGAGCAGCGAACGGGCGAGUAACGCGUGGGGAAUCUGCCUUUGAGCGGGGGACAACAUUUGGAAACGAAUGCUAAUACCGCAUAAAAACUUUAAACACAAGUUUUAAGUUUGAAAGAUGCUAUUGCAUCACUCAAAGAUGAUCCCGCGUUGUAUUAGCUAGUUGGUGAGGUAAAGGCUCACCAAGGCGAUGAUACAUAGCCGACCUGAGAGGGUGAUCGGCCACAUUGGGACUGAGACACGGCCCAAACUCCUACGGGAGGCAGCAGUAGGGAAUCUUCGGCAAUGGACGAAAGUCUGACCGAGCAACGCCGCGUGAGUGAAGAAGGGUUUCGGAUCGUAAAACUCUGUUGGUAGAGAAGAACGUUGGUGAGAGUGGAAAGCUCAUCAAGUGACGGUAACUACACAGAAAGGGACGGCUAACUACGUG
RNAcentral lists this ribosomal RNA (497 nucleotides) under uncultured bacterium. RNAcentral describes it as "partial 16S ribosomal RNA". It matches the Rfam family "Bacterial small subunit ribosomal RNA", at positions 28 to 507 of the family's 1533-position model. The record is from RNAcentral.